This 484-nucleotide ribosomal RNA is filed under the name uncultured bacterium. RNAcentral's name for it is "partial 16S ribosomal RNA". It matches the Rfam family "Bacterial small subunit ribosomal RNA", at positions 30 to 507 of the family's 1533-position model. The record is from RNAcentral.
AUUGAACGCUGGCGGCAGGCCUAACACAUGCAAGUCGAGCGGAUGAAGGGAGCUUGCUCCUGGAUUCAGCGGCGGACGGGUGAGUAGUGCCUAGGAAUCUGCCUGGUAGUGGGGGAUAACGUCCGGAAACGGGCGCUAAUACCGCAUACGUCCUGAGGGAGAAAGUGGGGGAUCUUCGGACCUCACGCUAUCAGAUGAGCCUAGGUCGGAUUAGCUAGUUGGUGGGGUAAAGGCCUACCAAGGCGACGAUCCGUAACUGGUCUGAGAGGAUGAUCAGUCACACUGGAACCGAGACACGGUCCAGGCUCCUACGGGAGGCAGCAGUGGGGAAUAUUGGACAAUGGGCGAAAGCCUGAUCCAGCCAUGCCGCGUGUGUGAAGAAGGUCUUCGGAUUGUAAAGCACUUUAAGUUGGGAGGAAGGGCAGUAAGUUAAUACCUUGCUGUUUUGACGUUACCAACAGAAUAAGCACCGGCUAACUUCGUG